RNAcentral lists this long non-coding RNA (201 nucleotides) under Trifolium pratense (red clover). RNAcentral's name for it is "long non-coding RNA (TPRA_LNC007461)". The record is from RNAcentral. Lineage: Eukaryota; Viridiplantae; Streptophyta; Magnoliopsida; Fabales; Fabaceae.
ACAAUUUUUGUUAGUAAAAACUUAUAAAUUAACACAAAUAAAAUUUUAUUUAUUUGCAUAACUUAUUUUCAUAAGCUUAAUAAUAAGCCAAAUCUAAACGGGCCCUCGGUCAAUCCAAGAUAGACACUAUUAUUAGCUUUAUGUUUUUAUUUUUACACAAUUAUUGGCUUUAUGUUUUUUUGGUUUGACACAAUUAUUGGC